UUUACAUGUUCUCACCUCCCCCACCAUUUUUCAGGUAUCGCGGGCGAUAAGUAGUGGGACGAGACGUGAGGUACGUGUGUAGCUGUCGAUAGAGCUUCCAAACCAGAUUAUUUCGAUUUAGUUAUUAUCCUUGGUAUUUCUGUUGAUAUAUAGUUUAGUUAGUUUAUGUGGUUCAGUAUUUAUUUACAUUUGAAAAUGUGGAUUUCUGGAUUUUGUAAAAUAAAAGGUUUUCUACCCCUCGUGGUAGCGUUUUUAAUAGAAUAAAGGUUUCUGUAUAGGAAACAGUUUUCAAAAAAUUUUCGUGGAUUUCUGUUUAAACCUUGAAUGUAAAACUGUGAUGUGAAUGGUGAAUGUAUGAAUGUAUAGUUAUUUUUAUAUUCAUCUGGUUGUGGUUGUAUCCUGGUUGUACUGUGUAUUUGAUCGAUGCCGUGCAAAUACAAGGGAGACUCUGUCCGUGUGAACAGUGGAUUCCCUGUAUUUGUGGCGGAUCUGGCAUACUCUGGGGUCAGGUUUUCAAAAAAAAAAAAAAUUCAGACGCUUUCCGCUUUGUUUUAAACUGAAAAGGGACCCCGGGGCGUGACAGUUUUAUAUAUUAUGAGAUUUUAGUAGUAGUGCUUCAAUGCUUGUUAAAAUAGAUUCAUUUAAUUUCAGUAUAGGUU
RNAcentral lists this long non-coding RNA (659 nucleotides) under Ananas comosus (pineapple). RNAcentral's name for it is "long non-coding RNA (ACOM_LNC009255)". Lineage: Eukaryota; Viridiplantae; Streptophyta; Magnoliopsida; Poales; Bromeliaceae. The record is from RNAcentral.